RNAcentral lists this ribosomal RNA (478 nucleotides) under uncultured bacterium. Its description in RNAcentral is "partial 16S ribosomal RNA". It matches the Rfam family "Bacterial small subunit ribosomal RNA", at positions 28 to 523 of the family's 1533-position model. The record is from RNAcentral.
GACGAACGCUGGCGGCGUGCUUAACACAUGCAAGUCGAACGGUAAGGCCCUUCGGGGUACACGAGUGGCGAACGGGUGAGUAACACGUGGGUGAUCUGCCCUGCACUUCGGGAUAAGCCUGGGAAACUGGGUCUAAUACCGGAUAGGACCACUGCCUGCAUGGGUGGUGGUGGAAAGCUUUUGCGGUGUGGGAUGGGCCCGCGGCCUAUCAGCUUGUUGGUGGGGUGAUGGCCUACCAAGGCGACGACGGGUAGCCGGCCUGAGAGGGGGACCGGCCAGAGUGGGACUGGGAUACGGCCCAGACUCCUACGGGAGGCAGCAGUGGGGAAUAUUGCACAAUGGGCGCAAGCCUGAUGCAGCGACGCCGCGUGAGGGAUGACGGCCUUCGGGUUGUAAACCUCUUUCAGCACCGACGAAGCGCAAGUGACGGUAGGUGCAGAAGAAGGACCGGCCAACUACGUGCCAGCCGCCGCCGUAA